RNAcentral lists this microRNA precursor (96 nucleotides) under Cricetulus griseus (Chinese hamster). RNAcentral describes it as "mir-640". The record is from RNAcentral. Lineage: Eukaryota; Metazoa; Chordata; Mammalia; Rodentia; Cricetidae.
UCUAACCAUAACUUAAAAAGUAAGUACUGUUCUCAUGCUCAUUUUACAGAUAGAAAACUGAGGUUUCUGAAGUUUGAGGAAGUUAGUUACAAUUAC